Molecule: ribosomal RNA, 375 nt
Filed under: uncultured bacterium
Lineage: Bacteria
Description: bacterial SSU rRNA
Rfam family: Bacterial small subunit ribosomal RNA
Source: RNAcentral
UAAUACAGAGGGUGCGAGCGUUAAUCGGAAUUACUGGGCGUAAAGGGCGCGUAGGCGGUUGUAUAUGUGUGAUGUGAAAGCCCCGGGCUUAACCUGGGAAGUGCAUCGCGAACUGUAUAACUGGAGUAUAUGAGAGGGUGGCGGAAUUUCCGGUGUAGCGGUGAAAUGCGUAGAGAUCGGAAGGAACGUCAAUGGCGAAGGCAGCCACCUGGCAUAAUACUGACGCUGAGGCGCGAAAGCGUGGGGAGCGAACAGGAUUAGAUACCCUGGUAGUCCACGCUGUAAACGAUGAGAACUAGAUGUUGGUUGGGGAACCAAUCAGUAUCGAAGCUAACGCGAUAAGUUCUCCGCCUGGGAAGUACGGCCGCAAGGUUG